GGACAACUCUUAAAAAACAAGGAUCUGCAAGGAUGAAAAGAUUGACAAGACUCUCUUGAUAGCAAAGUUACGGUCAACAAAGAGAGAAAACAGUAGGUGGUCCUGCCUACUGCUGGAUUAAGUUCAAAGCCUGGAAAGAAAUUUGCAUUUGGAGGGCAGAUACAAGGAGGUAUGUUUUAUUGAAUCUCUGGUACCUUACCCUUUUUCAAGUUCAUAAUGCGUAUGUUGGAU
Molecule: long non-coding RNA, 231 nt
Filed under: Dasypus novemcinctus (nine-banded armadillo)
Lineage: Eukaryota; Metazoa; Chordata; Mammalia; Cingulata; Dasypodidae
Description: lncRNA (ENSDNOG00000051968.1)
Source: RNAcentral